AGCGAAUUCACGAAACACACUUUGUAAACAGAUAUUUAUUGCCUGCAAGAUAAAUAGUCAAAAUACAUCAGAUUUAUUGAUGCCUUGAGAAUAUGGUAUUAUGGCAGUUUAGAAAGGAACUGUGAGCAAAAUCACUGCAGGAACUGACUGUGGAUUGGUCUGCGAGGAGAGUGGGAAAAGCAGAACCACAGGAAAUAUACAGAAGACAUAAUGUUUAGGAUAACAUGACUAAACCAGAUGCAGUGCAGCUUUUGUAGCAAACAGGUUCAACAGGAAUGUACAUCAAAUGCCUAAAAUUUAUUUAAAAUAAUAAAGAAAAGUAUUUUAUAAAGUAAGGGAGAAAGAAAUACUUUUGCAAUGAGGAGGGGGAUAAUCCAAUCUACUUCUGCAUUUUGUCAGGGAACUGCAGGAACUGUCCUCGUCCUGGCCUGUCCAGUCUGUAUAAAAGCUUGCCUCAGAUUUCCAUGAUUUUUUCAAUCCACGAUACUGCAGUCAGCAUGUAAGUAUACACUUAUCUGUUGUUCAUUUGUCAACUAUUUU
RNAcentral lists this long non-coding RNA (540 nucleotides) under Parus major (Great Tit). Its description in RNAcentral is "lncRNA (ENSPMJG00000018301.1)". The record is from RNAcentral. Lineage: Eukaryota; Metazoa; Chordata; Aves; Passeriformes; Paridae.